Molecule: long non-coding RNA, 4384 nt
Filed under: Homo sapiens (human)
Lineage: Eukaryota; Metazoa; Chordata; Mammalia; Primates; Hominidae
Description: HSALNT0323381
Source: RNAcentral
UGAUGGGAUAGCGCCUUUAUUGUGGGACAAACUAAUUGCUUAAUGAAUAGCCAAUAACAUUUCCUCAUACUCUGGUUUCUCUUUGGAUCUUAUAAACCCUUUGUCUUUUACCAAAAAAAAAAAAAAAAAAAAAUCAAAACCAAAACCAAAAAACAAAAACAUUUCCUUAUGUAAAGGGACAUGACUUUUAAAAAAUAUGAAUAUUUCCACUUUUCUUGUGGUUCUCCCUCCUGUCCUUCUGUCUUUUCAACCAGUUGUCAAUCCUUGCCUCAGAAGAGUUUAUGAUUCUACAGAACAGCAAAGAAAAGCUUUUGGGUUUCAAAGGUAUUGACUUUUAUGUUGUAAAAAUCUCAGGUCCAAAGGGAAAGUUGAUGAUAUAAGAGUAAGGUUCCUGUUUGCAUCCUUUUCUCCCACUGCAGGGUUGGGGAAAAGAAGCCCUCUGCACACCAGAAUUACCCAGAGACAUGGAACACUUAGCACUGCAUCAUAUGUUGGCCUUACAGAGGUCCUCCGUAUUCCAAUGUGAGGAAGGAAGUGGUGGUACAUUUGCAGAAGGCACUAAAUUAAGCGACUCUAAUGAACCAGAUAGAAGGGACCACUGCAACAGGAUUUAGUUUCCUCCUCGAACCAUGAAAGAGACCAGGAGAGAAUAGGCCUUCCUCUUUGGCAGCCAACAUGGAAACAGGAUGAACAAGACCAGGAGGAGGUUUUCCUCUGUUUCACAGGUAUUCCAUAGUCACUGGAAACUCAUAUGCAUCCUGGAAAGCAGUAAUAUUGACUUUCCACCACAAAGUCAAAGUUUGCAACAGAAGCUAAGUUGUUAUAAAAGAAAAUAAUUGCUUUAAUAUACGGACUGAAAUUUGCACCCAAUGCAUUUAGAUUUUGAAUGUUACUGUUCAAAAAGCCAAGUCUGAAGCCAAAUGUUUUUUUCUUUCUCUUUUAAUGUUGAUUUGCUUUUUCUGCCUGGAUGCUUCAACAAUUCUAACUUCAUCUUUAAAAUUUAGUAACUUAAUGAGAAUAUACCUGGCUUGCUUAUUCUGCAACAGCUUUCAUAUUAGAAGAUAUAUUUUAAAAUUUUUAUUUAGUUUUAUUCAAAAUUUAAAGAAAUACUUUUGUAUUCUUUCUCCAUAUACCUUUUCUUUCCUAUUUUUCAAUGAUUGAUAGAUGUCAUUUAUCUGCUAUUUAUAUUCACCAAUUUCUUUUCAUUAGCUUUGAGCUUUUUGUCUUUUUCUCUCUGCAUUUAUACAUGUUUUAAGACAUUUUCCAUGCUGUAAUUUCAAUUUUUAACUUGUUUUCUUCUGUUUCUAAUUUAUGUAUUAGGUCUAUAAUAAUAGAAUCUUUUGUUUCUCAUUUUUUCCCCUUUAGCACUUCAGUUUCCCUAAUUUGUUUUAUCAUCUUGUCUUUGAGUUCUUUUAUUGAAUUCAUUUUCUUCUAAAUUCUUUUAUACUGUGAAGUACUUGUGGGAAAUAAGUUCUGUUCUUUGGGUUAUGUCUUCUUGAUGAUGGAUUCUUCAUAUGUUAUUCACUAGCUAAUUUUUUUUUCAACUGUAGUCUGUUGCCAUUGUUUCCGUGGCAUGCAUUUUCAUUCGGUUAUUGGUUAACAGAGUGCUUUGUCUGGAAGUUUCUGUUAUGACAUAGUAUGGGUAAAUUCUCUUUGCUAUAGUUCCUUUGUUUUGGAGAGUUGUUUGAUUGUUAAUUUAGGUGCUACAUUUUGACGGCUUGGUUGUCUGUUCUAUCGGCUUUUCUGAAGCCUGAGGGUUCAAGGAUUAAAGAAUUAUAACCCUUGUUCUGGACAAUUUGGGUUUGGCUUUCUCACUGAAAUCCUACAAAUGUCUCCUACUAGGGACUACCUAUUUCCAUUAAUAUUAUCUAUUUUCUCCAUCUGAAGGUGGUAAGUUCCAGUAUCUGUUUUUGUCUUUCUGAGAUCCUCCAGGGGUGCGAUCCUCCAGGAUCCUCCAGAUCCUCCGGGACCUCUAGUAUCGAAUAUCUUCCUGUGUCUUUCUACUCAGCUCUCAGUCACCCUCUCUCUAAGUUGGAGGACAUUAGCAGCAUUCUUAGAAUUUCUUCAACCUACUCUUUUUCUUUAGUAAGGUUUUUGGAGAAUGAGAAUCUGUUGGGUGUCUUGUUGGAUUCCAUGGUAUUUAUUUAUCAUACCUAUUGUGAAUAUUCACAGCACUUGCUAUAACAUUUUGAUGUAUUUGAUUAUGUAGCACCACCCCUAACAUGCCAAAUGUAAUGCAAAGUUUAUACAUACAUUUUAAAAUACGAACAAAUCUGAAUUUCUGACUUAUGUUCUGUUUCCAUUGCUUGACAUUUACAGCAUGAAGCUACUUCCCUUCCCUUGUUUGCUUGCUGCUGGUAAAUUUGAGGCCAUUUACUUUUUCUUUAUUUAAAAAAAAAAUCUUAACCCGAAAGACUGAGCUAUGACUUCAUAUUAAGCUUUAUAGUACAAGGCAAAAAAAUGAAUUCAAAAUAGAGAGUUAUGUAAAACCAAGUGUAUUCAUUCAAUGAGAGUUCAUUUUUAACUCUCUUGCCAUUAUUUACUGGGAACAUAAAUCUAUUGUAUUUUAACUUAAAAAUGUAAUUGUGCUCUAGAUUCCAAUUAUCUUUCUUUUCUCAGCAUUGUUAUCAAACAAGUCUUAAAAUGGGAAUUUCAGUGCUUUUUGAAUGAAUUAAUGUAUUUUAAAAUUUUCCUAUAUUUUACAUAAACACCGUUUUGGAAUGUGACUUUUGAUAAAAAUAUUCCUCCUCAGUGAAAUGAACCAUCCCUGCAACUCUUACAGCAAAUAUAUAUAGUUAUGCUAGUUUUAUCUCUUCCCUGAUGGGAAAGCACACAAUUAUCUAUAAGAUAUUUCAGCCUGUAACUGUGUUUUAUCCUUCUUUGAAGAACCCCCCCCCAACACAUGUCUGUGUGCACACCCAAAACAGCUUUAAUAUUACUAUAAUAAUAUAGCAAAAUGUUUGACGCUGGGUGCUAUAAACUUUAAUAAAUGCAAUGCAGUUUGAGAAUCUUAACAAAUUUCUAAGUGGACUCUUAAAAAACAGACUCUCAAUACCUAAAUCAGGAUUACUAAAAUGAUUGCUGAAAUGAAGUGUUUUAUAUUUCUAUUGAGAAAGAAAUAUAAAAUACAAUAUUAUUAUUAUAUGAGAAGUUUGAAAGAAAAUAUUCAUUAUCUCAAUGUUUUUGGACCAAAAAAAAAAAAUCUUAGUAAAAGUAACGUAAAUACAAAAAAGUCUUCAUUUUGCUUAACAUAUAAACAUUUUCAAGGAAAUUAAACAUAUCUGGUAGUUUUUAAGAAAAUUAAAACUAGAAAAUUUGAUCCAAAUUGCAUGUUCUUUUCAGGAGCACGGACUAUUCUCUCAUGUUGAAUGUGGCACUUUUUACAUACAAGCAGGAGAGCAACUACACCAAGAUUUUGGAAAACAUGUUAUGUUAAUUGUGACCUCUAUGAUGGGGAUAUGAUAAAGAAGAAAAGUACCUCACAGCGAUGAUUGGCAUGUGAUCACUUAGCCAAUGAGAUAAGAGGCUGUAGAAACGAUGUGAUAAUGACAUCUCCUGAGUUGCAGGUCCAUAUUAGAAGUGGAUAUGAAGUAAACAUUGAGCUUUCCUCACAUUUAAUUAACAAGCUUUAUUAUAGAUACAGCUCAAAUUAGUUAAUUCAGGAAGCUUAUUUUGUAGAAAUUAAAACAUUAAUAAACACAUACAUUUAGAAAUAAAGAACUCGGCUGACCCUUUGACUCUUUGAAACAAGUGGCCUUCCAUGCUGUGAAAGAUUGUAGCCACUCUUUGAGACAUUGGAAUGGUGUCCAUUGCAUUUUAUCAAGUUAACUAUAGGUCAGCCUGGGAAAUCUGAAGUUUCCUUAUCUCCUGUCACUGUGGUUGCUGUGAGAUUUUGUGUCAUCACUGUGCUGUCUUCCCUCUCCACAUGAAGGUGAGCUGUCUGGCUUCACUCUAACGUUUGUGAUUUCACGCCCGACCUGAUUGUUGCCAAGCAAUUCCUUUGUUUGGAGAAUUCUGUGCUUUGUUUAGAAUUUUUUAAAGGUUCUUUUCCUGUGGUCAGAUUUCUGUUUGCUACUGUGUCUUAUGCCUUGUUCUCCUACAGAGAAGAUUCUUUGAAGUUAGUGGAAGCUCAGCUUAAAGGAAGAUCUACUGCUCUGUGUGGUGGAUGACCAUGGGGGAGCGAGAAGGCAGCCUCCGGCUUUUGUUUUGUGUGUGUGUGUGUGUGUGUGUGUGUGUGAUGUACCUGGAAAAAUAACACGACUAGGAUUAAAGAGUAUGUUUGGCAUGUUUAAAAUAAAUUGUAAACCAAACGUAUUUUAAAGAAUUUAUACAAAUUUGUCAUUUAGUAAAAUGAAUGACUAUUGAGUAUUCAUGUCAAUAAAAC